Molecule: non-coding RNA, 2493 nt
Organism: Podarcis muralis (Common wall lizard)
Lineage: Eukaryota; Metazoa; Chordata; Lepidosauria; Squamata; Lacertidae
Source: RefSeq, a predicted model, not a curated record
UUAUACAUCUGCAAAUGUCUAAAGGUCACACCCAUAUCAGACCAGGAUCAAAAGAGGACAGGUAGCGCUUGCCUUGAUCCUGAUGAAGUCAGGCCUGCCCUGAAACGGGAUACUCCAGGCAUUUAACUUGAAUAUGGAUCCCAUUGCCACUGACAGAGGUAGCCAGUUGCACUGGGUAAAGGGGGGAGGGGGCUUCAUUUCCCCCAGUAUUUUUGGGCAGGGGGCAGUGCCACCCCAAUACUGAGGGGGCCGCUGUCCCCGCAGCCAUGUCACCCUCCAAGUGCCCCAGCCUCAGCCUCUGCACAGCAGCCCAGAAGCCAGGCAGUGGCUGUGACAAGCGUGGGCAAUCUUUGCUUUGCUCAUCCCAGCUGCAGCCUGGCAGCUCAGAAGCCGGGCGGGGCUGGGACAAGCAAGCGUGGAGAUCACCCUCCACAUGCUCCGCCCCUGCCCGGUGGCAUCAUGUGACAUGUUGGGUGACAUGUUGCAUGACUGCGCCCCCUCAAUGUGGGGGGUAAGUCGGCGCCUGCUGUUCAACUAUGGAUUUUAGAUACCAUUUUGGCAGCAGAUUUGGAGACCGAGAGAGGGCCUAUGUGCAAGACAGUCCACUGGGCAAGUACCCUUGGGACUCUCCUAUUCAUUUUAAUGUGGAAGAUUCCCAGGGGAUUCCCAUGUUAAUUAGCCAUUUGGCUUUCCUGCUUGAGGCACUAAAAUCUCUUGUCCUACGCCUUAUAAUCGCCACGAUUUUAACCCUCACAGUUAGCAUACUGCCAUAAACAGAACAGGAACAAAAUGGAUGGCACACACCAGAGGGACCUUAAUCAGACUGUUUGUUUGAAGGGCAGCUGAAUAAAACACUCCAUAUUGGCUCAAGGAAUGGAAAAAGUGACACUUUUUGAAAAACAAAUCAUGAAACCAGGCUUUCAUGGGAGCAAAGGUGUCUGACCAUUUCUGAUGUCCCAGAGGAAGUGGAGAGCAAACUUCAAGAUAUUGGACAAAGGGGGAGCAAAUUUUUCCCCCAGCAUCACAAAUCACUGGUUGCAAGUAUGAGCAUGACUGUUCAUGUCUUCUUGCAUAUAAAGGUAUUCAUUAAUGCAAUAGUCUUGACAUAAGAGCGAAAGUUCCAUUCUUAGUUCAGUGAUAUCUUAUAAUCCACCAAACGAUCAUCUGGAUUCCAGUAUGUCUGUUGUGGUUUUGGCCUGUUUCAAACAUUUGCACAGAAGUACUGAUUUCAAGAUGCUUAUUGCUGAUUGUGUGAGAAUGACUUUUCUCCCAUCUAGGCCAUUUAACAGUCAAACCUUGUUAAUUACGUUGCAUCACUCCACUUAACAUUCUGUAUUGCAAAACAUAUCAUUUCCCGCACCUUAACAUUUUAUCCGUCUGAGUACAUAUAUUAUUACAAUGUUCAAAAUUGUCGUUACAAGCAGUUCCAAAUCCAGGCAUGGCAGCAUACACUUAGGUUGCCAGUCAGAACUGUGGGGGCUGCACCUGGCCCCCCAGUUUUUCUGGGCUCCCCUCUACUUCCUCAACUUGAGCUAUUUUCUUUGGGGAUGUGCAAGGAGCUAUGUAGAUCAUUGAAAUACUGCCCUAUUAAACUGGAAAUCAUUCUCAGCUGUUUAAUGCCCUCUGAUAAUUCACCCAGUGUUGCCCACACAAUCAGGCCUUAAGGUGUUUUAAAAUGAAACCUGAGACUGCAAGGAUGUUUGUGUGAAAUGUAAAGGGAGCCUUGACUUAUAGAGCCUUUUCGAUCUAAAAGUCUUAUCUCUGCCCUCAUCAUAGAAAUGUUGGAGUUUUCCCUGUUUGUUUGUACAACAGUGAAUGAGUGAUGCUCUGCCAUGCUUGGUCACACACACACACACACACACACACAGAGAGAGAGAGAGAGAGAGAGAGAGAGAGAGAGAGAGAGAUUGAGAUUUAGACACAUCACCAUAUGUUCUAGACCUGAACUUUGGCUCAAAUAUAUAAGCCCCAAUUUAUGGCCCCAAGUGCCUUUCCCACAUUCUGGUCACUCUCUGGAAACAUAUGGGUUGAGGGUCUCAGCUUUGUUUUCCAGAAUUUCUGAAAACAAUUUUCAGGGGUUUUUUUGUAGAUCCCUGAGAGAAGGUUUGCUGUGCCUGAAACAUGUUGCAUAUUAAAUCGUGUCUUAGAUAUAUUGGGGCACCUUUUUCUUUCCUUUAAAAAUAAAAUACAGGUGCAGCUUAUUUUUGUCAUUUCAACGCAAAACCCAGCAAUUCUAGAAGAUGAGGGUGGGGGCAGGGAGAACACCCUGUAGUACUGGGGACAAGAAGGAUUGUUUCUGCAUGUACUGUAGGAGUUGAUCUCUCUCAAUCUCUCGAAACAGCCUGUCAAACUGGUCAGACCAGACUGAGACCUGCUUUUGCCACCCCUCAGGCAUCCUUCCCAAGGACUGGUGGUUCUCUCAAAUCAUUUGUUUUCCAUGACCAAGAGCUCACUUGAUUAUGUUUUCAAAAUGUAGGCAUUUCCAUUUUUAAU